This 519-nucleotide ribosomal RNA is filed under the name uncultured bacterium. Its description in RNAcentral is "bacterial SSU rRNA". It matches the Rfam family "Bacterial small subunit ribosomal RNA", at positions 8 to 526 of the family's 1533-position model. The record is from RNAcentral.
AGAGUUUGAUCAUGGCUCAGGACAAACGCUGGCGGCGUGCCUAACACAUGCAAGUCGAACGGACCAGGUUCUUUCGGGAGCCUGGUGAGUGGCGGACGGGUGAGUGACACGUGGAUGACGUACCCUGGUGUGGGGGAUACCCUUCAGAAAUGAGGGCUAAUACCGCAUACGAUCGCGCGGGUCAGACCGCGCGAGGAAAGCUGUUGGGGCAACCUGAUGGCGCACCAUUGGAGCGGUCCGCGGCCGAUUAGCUGGUUGGUGGGGUAAUGGCUCACCAAGGCGACGAUCGGGAGCUGGUCUGAGAGGAUGAUCAGCCACACUGGGAUUGAGAACGGCCCAGACUCCUACGGGGGGCAGCAGUGGGGAAUAUUGCGCAAUGGGCGAAAGCCUGACGCAGCGACGCCGCGUGAGGGAUGAAGGCCUUCGGGUUGUAAACCUCUUUCAGCAGGGACGAAGCGAAAGUGACGGUACCUGCAGAAGAAGCACCGGCCAACUACGUGCCAGCAGCCGCGGUAAUUC